GUCAGGUAUGGUGGUGUAUGCCUAUAAUCCCAGUGACUUGGGAGGCUGAGGCAGGAGGAUCACAAGUUUGAGGCUAGCCUGGGUAAUUUAGUGAGACUCUGUCUCAA
Molecule: small RNA, 107 nt
Filed under: Marmota monax (woodchuck)
Lineage: Eukaryota; Metazoa; Chordata; Mammalia; Rodentia; Sciuridae
Source: RNAcentral